Molecule: ribosomal RNA, 433 nt
Filed under: uncultured bacterium
Lineage: Bacteria
Description: partial 16S ribosomal RNA
Rfam family: Bacterial small subunit ribosomal RNA
Source: RNAcentral
AACGAACGCUGGCGGCAUGCCUAACACAUGCAAGUCGAACGAGACCUUCGGGUCUAGUGGCUCACGGGUGCGUAACGCGUGGGAACCUGCCCUUAGGUUCGGAAUAACUCCCCGACAGGGGUGCUAAUACCGGGUAAUGUCUUCGGACCAAAGAUUUAUCGCCUUUGGAUGGGCCCGCGUUGGUUUAGCUUGUUGGUAGGGUAAAAGCCUACGAAGGCGACGAUCCAUAGCUGGUCUGAGAGGAUGAGCAGCCACACUGGGACUGGGACACGGUCCAGACUCCUACGGGAGGCAGCAGUGGGGAAUACUGGACAAUGGGCGAAAGCCUGAUCCAGCAAUGCCGCGUGAGUGAUGAAGGCCUUAGGGUUGUAAAGCUCUUUUACCCGGGAUGAUAAUGACAGUACCGGGAGAAUAAGCACCGGCUAACUCCGUG